UAACCUAAGAGGGUGAAGGAUGUGCAUC
RNAcentral lists this non-coding RNA (28 nucleotides) under Rattus norvegicus (Norway rat). Lineage: Eukaryota; Metazoa; Chordata; Mammalia; Rodentia; Muridae. The record is from RNAcentral.